RNAcentral lists this ribosomal RNA (465 nucleotides) under uncultured bacterium. RNAcentral's name for it is "partial 16S ribosomal RNA". It matches the Rfam family "Bacterial small subunit ribosomal RNA", at positions 29 to 507 of the family's 1533-position model. The record is from RNAcentral.
AUGAACGCUGGCGGCGUGCUUAACACAUGCAAGUCGAACGAUGAAGCCCAGCUUGCUGGGUGGAUUAGUGGCGAACGGGUGAGUAACACGUGAGUAACCUGCCCUUGACUCUGGGAUAAGCCUGGGAAACUGGGUCUAAUACUGGAUAUGACUUCUCAUCGCAUGGUGGGGGGUGGAAAGAUUUAUUGGUCUUGGAUGGACUCGCGGCCUAUCAGCUUGUUGGUGAGGUAAUGGCUCACCAAGGCGACGACGGGUAGCCGGCCUGAGGGGGUGACCGGCCACACUGGGACUGAGACACGGCCCAGACUCCUACGGGAGGCAGCAGUGGGGAAUAUUGCACAAUGGGCGCAAGCCUGAUGCAGCGACGCCGCGUGAGGGAUGACGGCCUUCGGGUUGUAAACCUCUUUCAGUAGGGAAGAAGCGAGAGUGACGGUACCUGCAGAAGAAGCGCCGGCUAACUACGUG